Long non-coding RNA from Octopus sinensis (East Asian common octopus), 148 nucleotides. RefSeq lists it as uncharacterized. Lineage: Eukaryota; Metazoa; Mollusca; Cephalopoda; Octopoda; Octopodidae. The record is from RefSeq and is a predicted model, not a curated record. The transcript has 3 exons.
CUUAAGUUGCCAAGAUUUCAAAAGUUGUCAAAGCGUAGUACAACAGUUUUGCUAUGGAAUGGUGAAACUAUUUAUUCGUUUUCUGAAACAGCAACGUUUUGAGCUUACCACACUUUUGCAUAACAGAAACAAAAUGAAGAAAUAAAUA